RNAcentral lists this ribosomal RNA (431 nucleotides) under uncultured bacterium. RNAcentral's name for it is "bacterial SSU rRNA". It matches the Rfam family "Bacterial small subunit ribosomal RNA", at positions 30 to 460 of the family's 1533-position model. The record is from RNAcentral.
AUUGAACGCUGGCGGCAUGCCUUACACAUGCAAGUCGAACGGCAGCACGGGAGCAAUCCUGGUGGCGAGUGGCGAACGGGUGAGUAAUAUAUCGGAACGUGCCCGGUCGUGGGGGAUAACGUAGCGAAAGCUACGCUAAUACCGCAUACGAUCUACGGAUGAAAGCGGGGGAUCGCAAGACCUCGCGCGAUUGGAGCGGCCGAUAUCAGAUUAGGUAGUUGGUGAGGUAAAGGCUCACCAAGCCGACGAUCUGUAGCUGGUCUGAGAGGACGACCAGCCACACUGGGACUGAGACACGGCCCAGACUCCUACGGGAGGCAGCAGUGGGGAAUUUUGGACAAUGGCGCAAGCCUGAUCCAGCAAUGCCGCGUGCAGGAUGAAGGCCUUCGGUUGGUUAAACUAGCUUUGUUACGGUAACGGAAACGGUACGG